CGGCGUGUGGCGGAAUUGGUAGACGCGCCAGCCUAAGGAGCUGGUGUCCUUCGGGACGUGUGGGUUCGAGUCCCACCAUGCCGACCA
RNAcentral lists this transfer RNA (87 nucleotides) under Caudoviricetes sp. Its description in RNAcentral is "tRNA-Leu". It matches the Rfam family "tRNA". From Rfam's summary of the family: Transfer RNA (tRNA) molecules are approximately 80 nucleotides in length. Their secondary structure includes four short double-helical elements and three loops (D, anti-codon, and T loops). Lineage: Duplodnaviria; Heunggongvirae; Uroviricota; Caudoviricetes. The record is from RNAcentral.